GAUGAAGAAUGUAGCGAAAUGCGAUAAGUAAUGUGAAUUGCAGAAUUCAGUGAAUCAUCGAAUCUUUGAACGCACAUUGCGCCCGCCAGUAUUCUGGCGGGCAUGCCUGUUCGAGCGUCAUUUCAACCAUCAAGCCCCCGGCUUGUGUUGGGGACCUGCGGCUGCCGCAGGCCCUGAAAACCAGUGGCGGGCUCACUAGUCACUCCGAGCGUAGUAAUACAUCUCGCUCAGGGCGUGCUGCGGGUUCCGGCCGUUAAAAAGCCUUAUUUACCCAAGGUUGACCUCGGAUCAGGUAGGAAGACCCGCUGAACUUAAGCAUAUCAAUAAGCGGAGG
This 334-nucleotide unclassified non-coding RNA is filed under the name soil metagenome. Its description in RNAcentral is "partial contains 5.8S ribosomal RNA, internal transcribed spacer 2, and large subunit ribosomal RNA". The stretch from base 1 to 120 matches the Rfam family "5.8S ribosomal RNA", at positions 35 to 154 of the family's 154-position model. The record is from RNAcentral.